Long non-coding RNA from Medicago truncatula (barrel medic), 2774 nucleotides. RefSeq lists it as uncharacterized. The record is from RefSeq and is a predicted model, not a curated record. Lineage: Eukaryota; Viridiplantae; Streptophyta; Magnoliopsida; Fabales; Fabaceae. The transcript has 5 exons.
UUGUUAAAAGAGGCAUACAGUAAAUAUGAAAGAAAGAGAAACUGAAAACAUAGAAGUGUGAAGGAUCUGAGGUUAAAGAAGGCGAAACCAGUUGAUACCCUGGAGGGAGGUUGAUACCCAGUUGAAGAUCAUAACGAACAUCAAGAAAAAUGGACGGACGUUCAGAUACUGUGAGUCCUUUGUUAGAGCGCGAUGGUGUGAGAAUUUCAAGAGGUUUUGAAGAUGAAAGUGGAGGUAAUAACAACACAAAUUGCGAACAAAGCAAUGGAGAUGGCAGUGGAAGUUCAAAUGCAGUUGAAGGCUCACUGGAUGAAACUAAUGAAGUCAAUCCGAUUAUGAUAAAAGAUAUGGUUGAUAUAAUGAAUAUUGACCUGGAAAACAUUUGUGUGGCUGAUGUGGAAAGAUAUGAAUUUGUUGGUUUAGAUGUUGCCUACAUGUUUUACUCUUGGUUUGCCAGCAUGUCAGGAUUUUCAGUUCGUAAGGGGCAAGUGGCGAGGGAUCGAAAUGGUGAAGUCGUCCAAAGACCUUUGUUUGUUCAUGUCAAGGUUACAGGGAGGAUAGGGGGUUAACUAUGGAAAACCGAAAGCGUGAGCCAAAAAAUGAAACAAUCAUGCUAUGUUAGAAGGUACUCUUUGUGGAAUGUUGCCAGCGUACAGAAAAAUGAGCGAGGCCGAUAUAGCUGAAAUUGAGCGUAGUCGAAAAGCAGGGAUAAGUCCUUACCAAAUGUAUGAGUCUUUGGCAAAUGCUUCCGGGGGUUUUCAUAAGGUAGGAUUUGUUAAAAAGGAUUUGUACAACCAGGUUGCGAGGCAACACAAAUCAUUGUUUUCUGAUGCUUAUGGUGAAGUUAAGUAUCUUCGAGAUCUUUGCACAGACGAUCCUCUAAUGUUUGUGAAAAGCUGUAUUGACGAUGAUAGGAGGCUUGAGCGUCUGUUCUGGUGUGACGGUGAAAGUCGUAUGAAUUAUGAGAUAUUUGGAGAUGUUUUGGCCUUUGAUGCAACUUAUCGGAAGAACAAGUACAAUUGUCUGUUUGUUGUGUUCUCAGGUGUUAAUCACCAUAAUCAGACCAUUGUUUUUGCGACAGGUGUAGUAACGCGGGAGACCGAAGACACAUAUGUAUAGCUGUUGGAACAAUUUUUGAGUGCAAUGAACGGUAAACCUCCUUUGUCAGUUAUAACAGAUGGCGACCUUGCAAUGAAAAAUGCCAUUAAAAAGGUUUUUCCUACAGCGCACCACAGGUUGUGUGCCUGGCAUCUGUUAAGGAAUGCUUCCACCAACAUUGGGAUUCCUGAUUUUAUGUCUUAUCUGAAAAAAUGCAUGUUGGGUGACAUUGAGAUUAACAAAUUUGAAAAUCUGUUGUCUGAGAUGGUUCAAAAGUUUGGGUUAGAAAACAACAGUUGGAUCAAUGAGAUGUACGAAAAGAAGAAGAUGUGGGUCACCUCUUACAUCAGAGGAAGUUUCUUUGCUGAUAUAAGAACCACCUUUCGUUGUGAGGCACUCCAUAGCCACAUGGGACAAUACGUGCAUUCUCGGAUAAACAUGACUGGUUUUGUGCAACAGUUCCAUAGGUGUUUAACAUUUUUUGGUUCAGGGAAAUUUUAUCUGAUUACCAAUCCAAUUAUGGUCUGCCUGUGAUGCAGACCAGUUUACGUUCAUUAGAGAAAUCUGUGGCUAAUCAGUUUACGAAGGCGAUUUUUCUUAUGUUUCGUACCGUGCUGAAAAGAUCAUUGCUUCUUAGAGUUACAGAAAGCCAAGAAAUUUCCAUGGGGUAUAUUUUCACGAUUUCAAAAUACCGUGGUGAUGGUAGGGUUUGGCAUGUGACAUAUUGUGAAGAACCAGUUGUUUUAAAAUGCUCGUGUCUUAGAAUGGAAUCGCUUGGUUUGCUGUGUGAUCAUAUUCUUGUUGUUCUUCUGUAUCUUGAUUUUGAUGAUCUUCCAAAAUGUUUGGUUUUGCAAAGGUGGUCCAAGUUUGCUUAAGAUUCGAUUUGUGGUAGUUAUGCCAAUGGAUCUCUUUAUUGGGACUCGCAAAUUGCUACAAGGUAUUAUGGCAUAUUCCAAAUGUGUAAAGUUGUUGCUGAGAUGGUAUACGAAGAUGAAGAUGAGUACAACCGUGUUGUCGAAUAUCUGAGUGGUGAAAUUAAUCGGCUUAAAUUGAAAAGGAACGACGCAAAUUGUGAUACAGUUCCAGUGGCACAGAACAGCACGGACGAGAAUGUGUUGGAUCCACAAUGUGUAAGAACAAAGGGUUGUGGAGCUAACCCCAGUGGUACUCCUGGUAGACGUAAACGUACACAAAAUUGAAGCGUUUGUGGUGUCAUAGGUCAUAAUAGACGUUGUUGUCCUUCCAUCAGUCACAUUAAUCUUGGGCAGACACAAACACCAAUGUCAAUUGACGAAGGAAUUCUCCAAGACGAGGAUGCAUACAACAGUGAGGGUUACAAUGACAUGCUGAGCCAGGAUUGAAACGUGUAUCGUCCAUGUUAUGGAAGCCUUGUUACGAAUAUUACUAUAUGAGUUGUUGUCAUGGAAAUGAUUUGGGGUCCAAUAUGUUUCAAUGAAUAUGCUUUAUAGAGCAAAUUUAAAUCAACUGUUUAAACAAUGGUGGUUUUCUGCGUGUUAUGUAGUAUAUUAUUUGAAUAUUUUAGUUUGUGUGAUGUACCAAGUUGUCUGUGUGAUGUACACUAUCUGGAUUUGUGUCGUAAUGUUGUAUGAUGUUGCGAUGUAGAGUAAUCAUGGACCUGUAUUACCUUAAUUGGUGUGGCACUUAUUUGCUUUCAA